GCUUACUUUAGCCAAAGUUUUCCCUUUCUUUUAUUCUCUUUAAGCGAAAAAGGAUCGUGAGGAUUCCCUGCCACAGUGUGUCCAGCAAAUUGUCACUUUCCAUGCACCAAAUUGAGAUUGAUUACAGAGCAGAAAGGGGAAAAGGAGAAAGAGAAGUCGUCUUUGGAGGCAACCGAGGUAGGAUUCCAAUGUGCUACAGAGACUUUAACGAAUGCAUUUAGGCUGGCCAAUGAUUUCUCCGAGUGGUGUUACUUAUCAGAAAUAAUUUGCAUUAGACUCUUUAAACUGCUGCAAGUUCUGAGUUAGGCCACAGCCAAGAACACGUAGAAAUUUUUCUGCUCAGAAACAUGUAAUUGACAUUUUGAGGAGACACAGCGAAAGAUAGUUUGGGAGAAGGGAUCGCAAUCCACAUGAAUAUUCCUUGUUUUCGUAAGAUUAAACAAAUUCAGAAGUGAUGCAACCACUGGUAGCAAGUAAUUGAUCAUCAAAAAGAAGAAGAAAAAGAAAAGCUUUGUUCCUAUUGACGGAGAAGAUCCAUGGCUUUCUGCAAGACGGGCCUGAACCUGUUCACGUCAAGCUUCACAUCUUGUUUGCGCAGGUAUAUCUUCCCCAUGUCCAUCCACCCUAGCUUGUGGAUCGACUGUGGGUCCGUAAACACAGCGUGGUCUCUGGGAUACAACUGUAGCAGAGUGCUCUCGUCGACGGUAAUGUUGUACU
Molecule: long non-coding RNA, 717 nt
Organism: Musa acuminata AAA Group (dessert banana)
Lineage: Eukaryota; Viridiplantae; Streptophyta; Magnoliopsida; Zingiberales; Musaceae
Exons: 2
Source: RefSeq, a predicted model, not a curated record